UGCAUCGAUGAAGAACGCAGCAAACUGCGAUAAGUAAUGUGAAUUGCAGAAUUCAGUGAAUCAUCGAAUCUUUGAACGCAAAUGGCGCUCUUGGGAUCUUCCCAGGAGCACGUCUGUCUGAGCGUCGUUUCUCAUCUCCCUCGCCCGAGGGGUCUUGGAGCGUCCCGUCGCCUCUACCGGCGACCGGUCCUUCGAAAUUAAGCGAAUCCGAGAGUGAUCGAAGCGUCUUUCGCGUCGCGAACUCCUCGGUGUGGUAGGUAACUAGCACUCGAGGGUCGCGGAGGCGGAACGACGAGGCUUUCGCUUUCGACAGUUCGAACGGCGGCGACUCGCAAGAGACGCCUACAUUAGACCUCAGAUCAAACGAGACUACCCGCUGAACUUAAGCAUAUCAAUAAGCGGAGGA
Molecule: ribosomal RNA, 406 nt
Filed under: uncultured fungus
Lineage: Eukaryota; Fungi
Description: eukaryotic LSU rRNA
Rfam family: 5.8S ribosomal RNA (bases 1-127)
Source: RNAcentral